GGAAAGAGAGGGAAGAGCAAAGAACGCAUGGCAGAGAUCUGGAACCCUAAAUUAGGGACUGGUACGAUGAGCGUAGAACUGAUGAAACGCCGGCGUUUUCGCCGGUGAAAAGCUUGUCUUUAAGUAAAGCGGGAUAGAAUGGUAAUUACAGAGUUGAAUUAAGGGCAGUAUUGAUGAAGAUUGCAGAUUUUGGAGAUGGAAUUUCAGAAACAGAGGAAGAUAGAUGGAAAGGAAAAUGCUGAAGUUAG
This 248-nucleotide unclassified non-coding RNA is filed under the name Hevea brasiliensis (rubber tree). Lineage: Eukaryota; Viridiplantae; Streptophyta; Magnoliopsida; Malpighiales; Euphorbiaceae. The record is from RNAcentral.